Molecule: long non-coding RNA, 247 nt
Filed under: Physcomitrium patens
Lineage: Eukaryota; Viridiplantae; Streptophyta; Bryopsida; Funariales; Funariaceae
Description: long non-coding RNA (PPAT_LNC011465)
Source: RNAcentral
GCAAAGACACUAUCAAGGUCUUGCACUAAGCUCAUACACUCACAAAUCCAGGAGCAAUGACUUCAACAAUUCACUAGCAACACUCUACCAUAAGAUCUCAACGUCCAAAAACAAGCAACAAAGAAAUAAUGCAAGAACAACUUACUUGGUAAGAGAAUGUGGGCCCAUAACCUGUUGAAACAUAGAAAGCAUACUCCACACAAGUAAGUUAGGACCAGCAAGGUUGCACUUUAACAAAUAGAGUGUG